RNAcentral lists this unclassified non-coding RNA (599 nucleotides) under Deschampsia parvula. Its description in RNAcentral is "partial external transcibed spacer". Lineage: Eukaryota; Viridiplantae; Streptophyta; Magnoliopsida; Poales; Poaceae. The record is from RNAcentral.
UUGGCUACGGCGAGCGCAUGAGUUGUUUUGGACCCGUGUCUGCCGGUAGAUCCCCCGUCUUCGUGCGGCCGACUACCGGCGCCUUGUCCCGUCAUUCGUGUGGCUUAUGUUACUGUUGCCUUGCAAGUGCUUGCGUGCUGUUACCCGACCAACGGGAAGUGGUGCUUCAUACACGGUUGCCUCGCGGUGGACACCUUCGGGUGUCCCACUGCGGCCAAACGACGCUWGUGGCGUUGCCUCGUGGUGCUGUGCUCGUUUACGUGCCCUGUGCUAUCAAGGCAGCCUCACUCGCGCUGUUGGUCUCGGAUGUCGCUCACGAUAUUGGCUCAUGGCCCUUUUGGUUGCCUCGACCCGACCCGAAAGCUCUCCGAAAUUGAGAACAACCGGAACAGGUGUUGCCUCUACCUCUCCAYAGUUAGUGGUAGGAUACGCAACAUUCUGCGUCGAUCCUCAAACUAGUAGGACGAGCUUAGCCCGCUCAAUUGCGACAACCGGCCCGGCUGUUGCGUCCGCCUUCCCACGCAAGUGGAAGGGCCAGCAACUACCGACGCUGGACGUCAACGAGGACGUGCUACCUGGUUGAUCCUGCCAGUAGUCUA